GACGAACGCUGGCGGCGUGCCUAAUACAUGCAAGUCGAGCGAAGUUUUUCUGGUGCUUGCCCUAGAAAAACUUAGCGGCGAACGGGUGAGUAACACGUAAAGAACCUGCCUCAUAGGCUGGGACAACUAUUGGAAACGAUAGCUAAUACCGGAUAACAGUAUUUCUCGCAUGAGAGAUAUUUAAAAGUUGGUUAUGCUAACACUAUGAGAUGGCUUUGCGGUGCAUUAGCUAGUUGGUGGGGUAAAGGCCCACCAAGGCGACGAUGCAUAGCCGACCUGAGAGGGUGAUCGGCCACACUGGGACUGAGACACGGCCCAGACUCCUACGGGAGGCAGCAGUAGGGAAUCUUCCGCAAUGGGCGAAAGCCUGACGGAGCAACGCCGCGUGAGUGAAGAAGGAUUUCGGUUCGUAAAGCUCUGUUGUUAGGGAAGAAUGGAUAUGUAGUAACUAUACAUGUAAGAGACGGUACCUAACCAGAAAGCCACGGCUAACUACGUG
RNAcentral lists this ribosomal RNA (499 nucleotides) under uncultured bacterium. RNAcentral describes it as "partial 16S ribosomal RNA". It matches the Rfam family "Bacterial small subunit ribosomal RNA", at positions 28 to 507 of the family's 1533-position model. The record is from RNAcentral.